UUUUGCUUUUAUUUCUGUUGCUUUGGGAGACUGACCUGAGAAAACAUUUGUAAGGUAGAUGUCAGAGAAUGUUUUGCCUAUGUUCUCUUCCAGGAGUUUGAUGGUGUCUUGUCUUAUAUUUAAGUCUUUCAGCCACUUGGAGUUUAUUUUCGUGCAUGGCGUGAGGGUAUGUUCUCGUUUCAUUGCUUUGCAUGCAGCUGUCUAGGUUUCCCAGCAAUACUUGCUGAAAAGACUGCCUUUUCCCCAUUUUAUGUUCUUGUCUCCUUUGUCAAAUACUAACUGACCAAAGGUGUCUGGGUUUACUUCUGGGUUCUCUAUUCUGUUCCAUUGGUCUGUCUGUCUGUUUUGGUACCAGUACCACACUGUCUUGAUGACUGUGGCUUUGUAAUACUGUCUAAAGUCUGGGAGAGUAAGGCCUCCUGCUUGGUUUUUGUUCCUCAGAAUUGCUUUGGCAAUUCUGGGUCUUUUGUGGUUCCAUAUAAAUUUUUGGAUUGUUUGUUCUAAUUCUGUGGAAAAUGUCAUGGGUAAUUUGGUAGGGAUUGCAUUGAACAUGUAGUAUGGCCAUUUUUACAAUAUUAAUUUGGCUAGUAUGGCCAUUUUUACAAUAUUAAUUUUUCCAACCCAGGAGCAUGGGAUAUCUUUCCAUUUCUUUACAUCUCCUUUAAUUUCCUGGAUUAAUGUUUUAUAGGUCUCAGCAUAUAAGUCCUUUACCUCCUUGGUCAGGUGUAUUCCCAGGUAUUUGAUUUUUGGGGGGUGCAAUUUUAAAAGAUAUUGUAUUUUUAGACAGGAUUAAGAUGGCAGAAUAGGACUGGAGCUCAACUUCUCUCCUAAAAACAACAAAAUUCACAACUAAAGACUGAGCAAUCUCCACCCAAAUGGACCAGAAACCUUAAAAAAGAUACCCUACUCCAGAAGAAAAAGAGGAGGCCACAUCAAGAGGUAGGAGGGGUGAUUUCGUGAUAUAAACAACCCCAUACCUCCCGGGUGGGAAGCUCCACAGGCUGAAAACUAACUGGUUCACAGAGACUCACCUACAGGAGUGAGAGUUCUGAGCCCCACAUCAAACCCUCACAUGCGGGGAUCCGGCACUGGGAGAAAGAGCCCCUGGAGCAUCUGGCAUUGAAGGCCAGUGUGGCUUAUGCGCAGGAGCUCCAUAGGACUGGGGGAAAUGGAGACCCCAUUCUUAAAAGGUGCACAUGGACUUUCACGUGCACUGGGUCCCAGGGCAGAGCGAGGUCGCCAUAAGAAUCUGGGUCAAACCUGACUGCAGUUCUUGGAGGACAUCCUGGGAAAACAGGGGUGAAUGUGGCUUGUUGUGAGGGAAGGACGUUGAAGGCAAAGCCCUCGGGAAUAUUCAGCAGCUGCCUUUCUCUGGAGGUGGCCAUUUCGGGAAAAUCUGGCCCCACCCAUCAGUCAGGGCUGAGAAACCCCAGUCAAACAACAAUCCAGGUGGGAUCACAGACCCGCCCCUCAGUAAACAGACUACCUAAAGACCCCUCAGGCACACAGCUGCCUCUAAUCCCAUCCAGAGACUAAGCCCCACCCACCAGAGGGAUUAGAAUCAGCUCCACCUACCAGUGGGCAGGCAUCAGCCCCUCCUAUCAGGAAGCCUACAGCAAGCCCUCAAGUGACUUCAGCCACAGGGGGGCAGACAACAGAAGUAAGAGAGGCUACAACCCUAUUAUCUGUAAAAAGGUCACCACACCAAAAACGUAUAAAAAUGAAAAGACAGAGAACUAUAACUCAGAUGAGGGAGAAAGGAAAAACCCCAGAAAAUCAGCUAAGCAAUGAGGAGAUUCUUAGCCUCCAGGAAAAAGACUUUAGACUGUUGAUGCUGAAGAUGAUGCAAGACAUUGGAAAUAAAAGAUGGAUAACAUUGGAGGCAAAGAUGGAUAACUUACAGGAAACACUGAGCAAAGAGAUACAAGAUAUAAAACUUAAACAAGAAGAGAUGCAAAAUACAAUAACUGAAAUAAAAAAUUCACUAGAAGCAGCUAACAGCAGAAUACAGGAGGCAGAAGAACAAAUAAGCGAGGUGGAGGACAGAU
Molecule: long non-coding RNA, 2048 nt
Filed under: Sus scrofa (pig)
Lineage: Eukaryota; Metazoa; Chordata; Mammalia; Artiodactyla; Suidae
Description: lncRNA (ENSSSCG00065015821.1)
Source: RNAcentral